GGAGGAUGAAGGUCUUCGGAUUGUAAACUCCUGUUGAUCGGGACGAAAAGCUUCGACCUAACACGUCGGAGACUGACGGUACCGGUUGAGGAAGCCACGGCUAACUCUGUGCCAGCAGCCGCGGUAAUACAGAGGUGGCAAGCGUUGUUCGGAAUUACUGGGCGUAAAGGGCGCGUAGGCGGCCUUCUAAGUCGGACGUGAAAGCCCCAGGCUUAACCUGGGAACUGCGUCCGAUACUGGGAGGCUUGGAUUCGGGAGAGGGAUGUGGAAUUCCAGGUGUAGCGGUGAAAUGCGUAGAUAUCUGGAGGAACACCGGUGGCGAAGGCGGCAUCCUGGACCGAGAUCGACGCUGAGGCGCGAAAGCUAGGGGAGCAAACAGGAUUAGAUACCCUGGUAGUCCACGCCGUAAACUAUGGGUGCUAGCCGUCGGGGAGCUUGCUCUUCGGUGGCGCAGCAAACGCAUUAAGCACCCCGCCUGGGGAGUACGGUCGCAAGAUUA
RNAcentral lists this ribosomal RNA (499 nucleotides) under uncultured bacterium. RNAcentral describes it as "bacterial SSU rRNA". It matches the Rfam family "Bacterial small subunit ribosomal RNA", at positions 403 to 896 of the family's 1533-position model. The record is from RNAcentral.